This 253-nucleotide ribosomal RNA is filed under the name uncultured bacterium. RNAcentral's name for it is "partial 16S ribosomal RNA". It matches the Rfam family "Bacterial small subunit ribosomal RNA", at positions 80 to 334 of the family's 1533-position model. The record is from RNAcentral.
UUUCUUUGCUGGCGACCGGCGCACGGGUGAGUAACACGUAUCCAACCUGCCCUUUACUCGGGGAUAGCCUUUCGAAAGAAAGAUUAAUACCCGAUAGUAUAAUGAUUCCGCAUGGUUUCAUUAUUAAAGGAUUCCGGUAAAGGAUGGGGAUGCGUUCCAUUAGGUUGUUGGUGAUGUAACGGCUCACCAAGCCUUCGAUGGAUAGGGGUUCUGAGAAGAAGGUCCCCCACAUUGGAACUGAGACACGGUCCAA